GUAGGUGGCAAGCGUUGUCCGGAAUUAUUGGGCGUAAAGCGCGCGCAGGCGGUCCUUUAAGUCUGAUGUGAAAGCCCACGGCUCAACCGUGGAGGGUCAUUGGAAACUGGGGGACUUGAGUACAGAAGAGGAAAGCGGAAUUCCAAGUGUAGCGGUGAAAUGCGUAGAGAUUUGGAGGAACACCAGUGGCGAAGGCGGCUUUCUGGUCUGUAACUGACGCUGAGGCGCGAAAGCGUGGGGAGCAAACAGGGAUUAGAUACCCUGGUAGUCCACGCCGUAAACGAUGAGUGCUAAGUGUUAGGGGCUUUCCGCCCCCCUUAGUGCUGCAGCUAACGCAUUAAGCACUCCGCCUGGGAGUACGGCCGCAAGGCUG
This 373-nucleotide ribosomal RNA is filed under the name uncultured organism. Its description in RNAcentral is "partial 16S ribosomal RNA". It matches the Rfam family "Bacterial small subunit ribosomal RNA", at positions 527 to 896 of the family's 1533-position model. The record is from RNAcentral.